UGCCCCCUGAUUUUUAUUAAAGGGCUGCAGUAAUUUGACUGUACAAAGGUAGCAUAAUCAUUAGUCAUUUAAUUGAUGACUUGUAUGAAAGAUUGGAUGAAAUAUAAGCUGUCUUUUUAAUAUAAUAUAGAAUUUAAUUUUUUAAUUAAAAAGUUAAAAUAAAUAAAAAAGACGAGAAGACCCUAUAGAGUUUUAUUAUUAAAUAAGUUAAUUUUAUAUAUAAAUUUAGUAAAUUUAAUUUGUUAAAUAAUUUUGUUGGGGUGAUAAAAAAAUUAAAUGAACUUUUUUUAAAAAAUUUAACAUAAAUAAGUGAAUAAUUGAUCCAUGAAUAAUGAUUAAAAGAAAAAAUUACCUUAGGGAUAACAGCGUAAUUUUUUUUUUUAGUUCAAAUAAAAAAGAAAGUUUGCGACCUCGAUGUUGGAUUAAGAUAAAAUUUAAAUGCAGAAGUUUAAAAAUUUUGA
RNAcentral lists this ribosomal RNA (461 nucleotides) under Pantana visum. RNAcentral's name for it is "partial large subunit ribosomal RNA". Lineage: Eukaryota; Metazoa; Arthropoda; Insecta; Lepidoptera; Erebidae. The record is from RNAcentral.